GGCACUGGCCCAACUGAUAUGACGUGCUUGCACUGAUUUGACGAUGGAUUACCAGUGAGCGGCGGACGGGUGAGUAACACGUGGGCAACCUGCCCUGGAGCGGGGGAUAACAUUUGGAAACAGAUGCUAAUACCGCAUAAUAGUCAAAACCACAUGGUUUUGACUUCAAAGAUGGCUUCGGCUAUCACUCCAGGAUGGGCCCGCGGUGCAUUAGCUAGUUGGUAAGGUAACGGCUUACCAAGGCAAUGAUGCAUAGCCGAGUUGAGAGACUGAUCGGCCACAAUGGAACUGAGACACGGUCCAUACUCCUACGGGAGGCAGCAGUAGGGAAUCUUCCACAAUGGGCGCAAGCCUGAUGGAGCAACACCGCGUGAGUGAAGAAGGGUUUCGGCUCGUAAAACUCUGUUGUUGAAGAAGAACGUGCGUGAGAGUAACUGUUCACGCAGUGACGGUAUUCAACCAGAAAGUCACAGCUAACUACGUG
This 484-nucleotide ribosomal RNA is filed under the name uncultured Lactobacillus sp. RNAcentral describes it as "bacterial SSU rRNA". It matches the Rfam family "Bacterial small subunit ribosomal RNA", at positions 38 to 507 of the family's 1533-position model. The record is from RNAcentral. Lineage: Bacteria; Bacillati; Bacillota; Bacilli; Lactobacillales; Lactobacillaceae.